This 769-nucleotide ribosomal RNA is filed under the name uncultured Actinomycetes bacterium. RNAcentral describes it as "bacterial SSU rRNA". It matches the Rfam family "Bacterial small subunit ribosomal RNA", at positions 111 to 892 of the family's 1533-position model. The record is from RNAcentral. Lineage: Bacteria; Bacillati; Actinomycetota; Actinomycetes.
GAACACGUGAAGAAUCUGCCCUCCACUUUGGGAUAACACCGGGAAACCGGUGCUAAUACCGAAUAUUGAAACAUAAGUGGCAUCACUGAGUUUUGAAAGAAUUUCGGUGGAGGAUGACUUCGCGGCCUAUCAGCUAGUUGGUGAGGUAAUGGCUCACCAAGGCAACGACGGGUAGCCGGCCUGAGAGGGCGACCGGCCACACUGGGACUGAGACACGGCCCAGACUCCUACGGGAGGCAGCAGUGGGGAAUAUUGGGCAAUGGAGGAAACUCUGACCCAGCGACGCCGCGUGCGGGAUGAAGGCCUUCGGGUUGUAAACCGCUUUCAGUAGGGAAGAAGCGAAAGUGACGGUACCUACAAAAGAAGCACCGGCUAACUAUGUGCCAGCAGCCGCGGUAAUACAUAGGGUGCAAGCGUUGUCCGGAAUUAUUGGGCGUAAAGAGCUCGUAGGUCGUUUGUUACGUCGGAUGUGAAAACCUGAGGCUCAACCUCAGGCCUGCAUUCGAUACGGGCAAACUAGAGUUUGGUAGGGGAGACUGGAAUUCCUGGUGUAGCGGUGGAAUGCGCAGAUAUCAGGAGGAACACCAAUGGCGAAGGCAGGUCUCUGGGCCAAUACUGACACUGAGGAGCGAAAGUCUGGGGAGCGAACAGGAUUAGAUACCCUGGUAGUCCAGACCGUAAACGGUGGGCACUAGUUGUGGGAACCUUCCACGGUUUCUGCGACGCAGCUAACGCAUUAAGUGCCCCGCCUGGGGAGUACGAUCGCAAG